GAUGAACGCUGGCGGCGUGCUUAACACAUGCAAGUCGAACGAUGAAGCCCAGCUUGCUGGGUGGAUUAGUGGCGAACGGGUGAGUAACACGUGAGUAACCUGCCCUUAACUCUGGGAUAAGCCUGGUAAACUGGGUCUAAUACCGGAUAGGAGCGCCUACCGCAUGGUGGGUGUUGGAAAGAUUUAUCGGUUUUGGAUGGACUCGCGGCCUAUCAGCUUGUGGGUGAGGUAAUGGCUCACCAAGGCGACGACGGGUAGCCGGCCUGAGAGGGUGACCGGCCACACUGGGACUGAGACACGGCCCAGACUCCUACGGGAGGCAGCAGUGGGGAAUAUUGCACAAUGGGCGAAAGCCUGAUGCAGCGACGCCGCGUGAGGGAUGACGGCCUUCUGGUUGUAAACCUCUUUCAGUAGGGAAGAAGCGAAAGUGACGGUACCUGCAGAAGAAGCACCGGCUAACUACGUG
RNAcentral lists this ribosomal RNA (466 nucleotides) under uncultured bacterium. Its description in RNAcentral is "partial 16S ribosomal RNA". It matches the Rfam family "Bacterial small subunit ribosomal RNA", at positions 28 to 507 of the family's 1533-position model. The record is from RNAcentral.